UUUUGACCUCGGAUCAGGUAGGGAUACCCGCUGAACUUAAGCAUAUCAAUAAGCGGAGGAAAAGAAACCAACAGGGAUUGCCCUAGUAACGGCGAGUGAAGCGGCAACAGCUCAAAUUUGAAAUCUGGCUCUUUUAGAGUCCGAGUUGUAAUUUGCAGAGGGCGCUUUGGCUUUGGCAGCGGUCCAAGUUCCUUGGAACAGGACGUCACAGAGGGUGAGAAUCCCGUACGUGGUCGCUGGCUAUUGCCGUGUAAAGCCCCUUCGACGAGUCGAGUUGUUUGGGAAUGCAGCUCUAAAUGGGAGGUACAUUUCUUCUAAAGCUAAAUAUUGGCCAGAGACCGAUAGCGCACAAGUAGAGUGAUCGAAAGAUGAAAAGCACUUUGGAAAGAGAGUCAAACAGCACGUGAAAUUGUUGAAAGGGAAGCGCUUGCAGCCAGACUUGCUUGCAGUUGCUCAUCCGGGCUUUUGCCCGGUGCACUCUUCUGUAGGCAGGCCAGCAUCAGUUUGGGCGGUAGGAUAAAGGUCUCUGUCACGUACCUCUCUUCGGGGAGGCCUUAUAGGGGAGACGACAUACUACCAGCCUGGACUGAGGUCCGCGCAUCUGCUAGGAUGCUGGCGUAAUGGCUGUAA
This 630-nucleotide ribosomal RNA is filed under the name Alternaria brassicicola. Its description in RNAcentral is "eukaryotic LSU rRNA". It matches the Rfam family "Eukaryotic large subunit ribosomal RNA", at positions 1 to 643 of the family's 3401-position model. RNAcentral also lists the same sequence under 1 other name. Lineage: Eukaryota; Fungi; Ascomycota; Dothideomycetes; Pleosporales; Pleosporaceae. The record is from RNAcentral.